RNAcentral lists this ribosomal RNA (492 nucleotides) under uncultured bacterium. RNAcentral describes it as "partial 16S ribosomal RNA". It matches the Rfam family "Bacterial small subunit ribosomal RNA", at positions 29 to 507 of the family's 1533-position model. The record is from RNAcentral.
AGUGAACGCUGGCGGUAGGCCUAGCACAUGCAAGUCGAACGGCAGCACAGUAAGAGCUUGCUCUUACGGGUGGCGAGUGGCGGACGGGUGAGGAAUACAUCGGAAUCUACUUUUUCGUGGGGGAUAACGUAGGGAAACUUACGCUAAUACCGCAUACGACCUACGGGUGAAAGCAGGGGAUCUUCGGACCUUGCGCGAUUGAAUGAGCCGAUGUCGGAUUGGCUAGUUGGCGGGGUAAAGGCCCACCAAGGCGACGAUCCGUAGCUGGUCUGAGAGGAUGAUCAGCCACACUGGAACUGAGACACGGUCCAGACUCCUACGGGAGGCAGCAGUGGGGAAUAUUGGACAAUGGGCGCAAGCCUGAUCCAGCCAUACCGCGUGGGUGAAGAAGGCCUUCGGGUUGUAAAGCCCUUUUGUUGGGAAAGAAAAGCAGCAGGUUAAUACCCCGCUGUUCUGACGGUACCCAAAGAAUAAGCACCGGCUAACUUCGUG